AUUGAACGCUGGCGGCAGGCCUAACACAUGCAAGUCGCAUGGUAACAGGAAACAGCUUGCUGUUUCGCUGACGAGUGGCGGACGGGUGAGUCAUGCCUGGCAAACUGCCUGAUGGAGGGGGAUAACUACUGGAAACGGUAGCUAAUACCGCAUAACGUCGCCAGACCAAAGAGGGGGACCUUCGGGCUUCUUGCCACCAGUUGUGCCCCGAUGGGUGUCGCUAGUAGGUGGGGUAACGGCUCCCCUACGCGACGAUCCCUAUCUGGCCUGAGAGGAUGACCAGCCACACUGGAACUGAGGCACGUUCCAUACUCCUACGGGGGGCAUCAGUGGGGAAUAUUGCACAAUGGGCGCAAGCCUGAUGCAGCCAUGCCGCGUGUAUGAAGAAGGCCUUCGGGUUGUAAAGUACUUGCAGCGGGGAGGAAGGGUGUAAAGUGAAUACCUUUGCUCAUUGACGUUACUCGCAGAAGAAGCUCCGGCUAACUCCGUG
RNAcentral lists this ribosomal RNA (490 nucleotides) under uncultured bacterium. RNAcentral's name for it is "partial 16S ribosomal RNA". It matches the Rfam family "Bacterial small subunit ribosomal RNA", at positions 30 to 507 of the family's 1533-position model. The record is from RNAcentral.